Molecule: ribosomal RNA, 490 nt
Filed under: uncultured bacterium
Lineage: Bacteria
Description: partial 16S ribosomal RNA
Rfam family: Bacterial small subunit ribosomal RNA
Source: RNAcentral
GAUGAACGCUAGCUACAGGCUUAACACAUGCCAGUCGAGGGGCAGCGGGAUUGAAGCUUGCUUCAAUUGCCGGCGACCGGCGCACGGGUGAGUAACGCGUAUCCAACCUUCCGUACACUCAGGGAUAGCCUUUCGAAAGAAAGAUUAAUACCUGAUGGUAUGAUGAGAUUGCAUGAUAUCAUCAUUAAAGAUUUAUCGGUGUACGAUGGGGAUGCGUUCCAUUAGGUAGUAGGCGGGGUAACGGCCCACCUAGCCAACGAUGGAUAGGGGUUCUGAGAGGAAGGUCCCCCACAUUGGAACUGAGACACGGUCCAAACUCCUACGGGAGGCAGCAGUGAGGAAUAUUGGUCAAUGGACGAGAGUCUGAACCAGCCAAGUAGCGAGAAGGAUGAAGGUCCUACGGAUUGUAAACUUCUUUUAUAAGGGAAUAAACCCUCCCACGUGUGGGAGCUUGUAUGUACCUUAUGAAUAAGCAUCGGCUAACUCCGUG